RNAcentral lists this ribosomal RNA (292 nucleotides) under uncultured bacterium. RNAcentral describes it as "partial 16S ribosomal RNA". It matches the Rfam family "Bacterial small subunit ribosomal RNA", at positions 505 to 796 of the family's 1533-position model. The record is from RNAcentral.
GUGUCAGCAGCCGCGGUAAGACAGAGGGUGCUAGCGUUGUUCGGAAUUACUGGGCGUAAAGGGCGCGUAGGCGGCUUGUUUAGUCGGGUGUGAAAUCCCGGGGCUCAACCCCGGAACUGCAUUCGAUACUGGCAGGCUAGAGACCGGAAGAGGUGGGUGGAAUACCCAGUGUAGAGGUGAAAUUCGUAGAUAUUGGGUGGAACACCGGUGGCGAAGGCGGCUCACUGGUCCGGUUCUGACGCUGAGGCGCGAAAGCGUGGGGAGCAAACAGGAUUAGAAACCCUGGUAGUCC